GCCAAUUGUAGUAGAGAAUUCAGUUAUCACCUCUGUGGUUCACAUGAGUCAUAAGUUCAGCCCAUAGGGACUGCAAUUCAGUGAUCUGCCUUGUGAUCUGGAAUCAUCAGUCAGCAAUUGUAUUCUGCCACAUAGAAAGAACUGUCAUGAAAUGUGUUCCAGGACCAAAUGGCUGUGAGGCCUGGUAGGACAGAAACAUCAGUCAGCAAUUGUAUUCCGCCACAUAGAAAGAACUGUCAUGAAAUGUGUUCCAGGGCUGAGGACUGACCCCAGAGCCUUGAGAAUAGUAAGCGAGUGACAUGACCAGCCCUUGCAGCCACACUUGUAAAGAAAUAUGUUUAUGUGGUUUCUUAAUUUAUCCAUCUUUGUUAAGAUGCAACCUUGGUGAGCAGCAGAUUGCCAUCUAACAGAAAGGAAAAAGAUACUACUCUUAGAAAGCUCUUAUCUGUGGAAAGAAGCCUGGCUCCCAAAAUGUUUUUCAAGGAAUAUUUGGUUCACUAAGGUAAGAUGGCGGUAGCUUGCUUUGCAACAGAUUUCUCAAAGUUCAUAGGAGGUAACCAUCAAAUCCUCAGCCAGACUAUCUUUUAAAGUAGUAGAUCUGCAUUUUAUAACUAAGACAGACAUCCCAGAACUUUGAUGUGGCAUUUAAUUCUUCUCGUUCUGACCAAACCUAGCAGUGGCCCAGAAAGCACCCAUAAAUCAACGCAUCAACCAGUGGCCUGUGCAAGCAUUGUUGUGUCUACUCAGGAGGAAAAGAACUGUCCUACUCCCAGGCCAGUGUGAAGAGCUAAUCUCAGAAGCAGCACGGUAGAUGGAAGGCUCUUCAUACAGAACAGGACGUGCUAGAUCACUGAUAGAAAGGCCUAGGAGAGACAGCCCGAGACUCCCUGCUAUGCAGUGUUGUCGAAAGACAGCCUGGUCUACCGUGGGAUUUAUCUACCCACACCUCAACUAGCCCACACUCUCUCCAAGAAGCAGCGGAGGAAGUAAAGCUGAGCUGCACUCUUCUUCCCAUUUAGCUUCCUUCCGUGGACUGUGUCUGUUGUUGCUGUCGUCGUUUCAGAAGACAGCAUAAGCCUGCCUAGAUGCGCGCUGGGAGACACAUGCCUGUGAGAUUUGUUGUUAAACAGUCUUUCUGCUCUGAGGACCCCUACUUCUGCUUCCACAGUGUUUUUUGCAGAGAAUCCAGAAGAGGAAAUCCUUUAAAAAUGUUUUAAGUAAGCAUAAAAUGACUUUUAUAUUGUAAUAGAUUUUAUGUUGAGGUUCUUGGAAGCGUGUCGUAGUCCGUUCUAACCCCUCCCCUCCCCCUCUGCCCACACCUUUGCCCUGCUAUAAUAGCUGUCUCCUUUCUUUAUCCCAGUUGUCGCUCACCUAAGAUUCACACCACGUGCAUUCCAUGGCCUCCCUUAUGGGCUCUUCCUUCUCAUGAUCAAUUUUGAGUUUCAGGACCUGUGUACACAUACGUAUGCGCGCGUAUAUACUGGACGUAAUUUUAAAUCUAGGUUCUGCGUGUGAGGAAAAACACAUAUGAUGUUUGUCUUCUUGAGCCUUGCUUAUUUUAACGUAAUGAUUUCCAGUUCCAAACAGUUUUUUUCAAGCGUCAUGAUUUCAUUUUUCUUUAUUGUUGAAUAAAAUUCUAUUGUGUGUA
Long non-coding RNA from Arvicola amphibius (Eurasian water vole), 1648 nucleotides. RefSeq lists it as uncharacterized. The transcript is spliced from 4 exons. The record is from RefSeq and is a predicted model, not a curated record. Lineage: Eukaryota; Metazoa; Chordata; Mammalia; Rodentia; Cricetidae.